GGAAGCGUGCCUGAAAGCUAAGGGCCUCCUUGAUAGGGAGGACUAUAUGAGUUCAAACCUCCUCACUUCC
Molecule: transfer RNA, 70 nt
Filed under: Rhinella altiperuviana
Lineage: Eukaryota; Metazoa; Chordata; Amphibia; Anura; Bufonidae
Description: tRNA-Ile
Rfam family: tRNA
About the family: Transfer RNA (tRNA) molecules are approximately 80 nucleotides in length. Their secondary structure includes four short double-helical elements and three loops (D, anti-codon, and T loops).
Source: RNAcentral